Non-coding RNA from Pelobates cultripes (western spadefoot toad), 221 nucleotides. The record is from the annotation of a GenBank genome assembly. Lineage: Eukaryota; Metazoa; Chordata; Amphibia; Anura; Pelobatidae.
GUGUUAGUUUGUUCGGCUGAUAUUUCUAUUCACUCAUUCGUCUGUCUGAUGAAUGAAUGAAUGAAUAGAUGAAAUUCCCGUUCGCAUGUCCAGGUGUUUCACUGGGCAUGUGCGGGAAUCUCACAGUCUGUCUAGUGUGGGCUGAUGACGUGUCCCACAGGGACUUCACCUACCCACACAAAGAUGGCGGCGCCCUGAAUCAAGAUCGGGGCAGAAAAUAA